Molecule: ribosomal RNA, 497 nt
Filed under: uncultured bacterium
Lineage: Bacteria
Description: partial 16S ribosomal RNA
Rfam family: Bacterial small subunit ribosomal RNA
Source: RNAcentral
GAUGAACGCUGGCGGCGUGCCUAAUACAUGCAAGUCGAGCGAACGGACGAGAAGCUUGCUUCUCUGAUGUUAGCGGCGGACGGGUGAGUAACACGUGGAUAACCUACCUAUAAGACUGGGAUAACUUCGGGAAACCGGAGCUAAUACCGGAUAAUAUUUUGAACCGCAUGGUUCAAAAGUGAAAGACGGUCUUGCUGUCACUUAUAGAUGGAUCCGCGCUGCAUUAGCUAGUUGGUAAGGUAACGGCUUACCAAGGCAACGAUGCAUAGCCGACCUGAGAGGGUGAUCGGCCACACUGGAACUGGGACACGGUCCAGACUCCUACGGGAGGCAGCAGUAGGGAAUCUUCCGCAAAGGGCGAAAGCCUGACGGAGCAACGCCGCGUGAGUGAUGAAGGUCUUCGGAUCGUAAAACCCUGUUAUUAGGGAAGAACAUAUGUGUAAGUAACUGUGCACAUCUUGACGGUACCUAAUCAGAAAGCCACGGCUAACUACGUG